This 68-nucleotide transfer RNA is filed under the name Orcaella heinsohni (Australian snubfin dolphin). RNAcentral describes it as "tRNA-Asp". Lineage: Eukaryota; Metazoa; Chordata; Mammalia; Artiodactyla; Delphinidae. The record is from RNAcentral.
GAGAUAUUAGUAAAGUCUUAUGUAACUUUGUCAAAGUUAAAUCACAAGUGAAAACCCUGUAUAUCUCC